UUUCCGUAGGUGAACCUGCGGAAGGAUCAUUCAUAAUAAAGUGUUUUAUGGCACUUUUUAAAAAUCCAUAUCCACCUUGUGUGCAAUGUUAGAUCUCGUCAAUCUUGGCGAGAUUUUUAUACAUCAACUCAUUUUUUAACUAAUUUGUCUGAAAAAUAUUAUGAAUACUUAAUUCAAAAUACAACUUUCAACAACGGAUCUCUUGGCUCUCGCAUCGAUGAAGAACGUAGC
Molecule: unclassified non-coding RNA, 231 nt
Filed under: plant metagenome
Description: partial contains small subunit ribosomal RNA, internal transcribed spacer 1, and 5.8S ribosomal RNA
Rfam family: 5.8S ribosomal RNA (bases 183-231)
Source: RNAcentral